CCUACGGGUGGCAGCAGUGAGGAAUAUUGGUCAAUGGACGCAAGUCUGAACCAGCCAUGCCGCGUGCAGGAAGAAGGUGCUAUGCAUUGUAAACUUCUGUUCUUAGUGAAGAAUAAUGACGGUAGCUAAGGAGCAAGCCACGGCUAACUACGUGCCAGCAGCCGCGGUAAUACGUAGGUGGCAAGCGUUGUCCGGAAUUACUGGGUGUAAAGGGAGCGCAGGCGGGAAGCCAAGUCAGCUGUGAAAACUACGGGCUUAACUUGUAGACUGCAGUUGAAACUGGUUUUCUUGAGUGAAGUAGAGGUUGGCGGAAUUCCGAGUGUAGCGGUGAAAUGCGUAGAUAUUCGGAGGAACACCGGUGGCGAAGGCGGCCAACUGGGCUUUAACUGACGCUGAGGCUCGAAAGUGUGGGGAGCAAACAGGAUUAGAUACCCUAGUAGUC
RNAcentral lists this ribosomal RNA (442 nucleotides) under uncultured bacterium. Its description in RNAcentral is "partial 16S ribosomal RNA". It matches the Rfam family "Bacterial small subunit ribosomal RNA", at positions 338 to 795 of the family's 1533-position model. The record is from RNAcentral.